AGGAAACUUAAAUGCAGAACCAGGCUUGAUCCGAGGCCUCCAGGAAUCCCGGUCUCUUGUGCAAUAUACUAUACCCAUUUCUUUAUUACCCACAAGGGGCUAAACAGAGAGGGGACAGACAUAGGUAUUCAGUCGAUUACAUUGACCCCAGUGCGCAACUGGUACUUAAUUUAUCGACCCCGAAAGGAUGAAAAGCAAAGUCGACCUCGGCGGAAUUUGAACUCAGAACGUAAGACACGAAAUACCUAUUUCUUUAUUACCCACAAGGGGCUAAACACAGAGGGGACAAACAAGGACAGACAUAGGUAUUAAGUCGAUUAAAUCAACCCCAGUGCGUAACUGGUACUUAAUUUAUCGACCCCGAAAGGAUGAAAGGCAAAGUCGACCUCGGCGGAAUUUGAACUCAGAACGUAAAGACACGAAAUACCGCAAAGCAUUGCGCCCGGCGUGCUAACGUUUCUGCCGUAUCGAAUACACAGACACUGUUUUUGAAGUUGGUUAAUUUGCAUACGGUGUACUAAAAUAGUUUUGUCCAUGACUUUUGGGCAAAUUUUUCCUUAACGACGGAAGUGUAGAAUAAGUUCCCGCCUCUGAAUCAUUCAGGAAGUUCUUCAAAUUACACUCCGACGUCAUUCCUUGGUCAUUUUUUCAUUAGGUGUGUCAGUUAGAAAGUUUCAGACACAAUGGACCAGCAAACACGAGGCGUUGGCUGCUAUGACACCACAGCUGAAAAAGGUGUCCUUCAUCGAGUACCUGACAAGAGUACUGAGAAGCUACAAUAAAGAAAAUGUUUCGCCAGGAACAACACUUUUUACUGAUAAAGGGGCAAGCUAUUGUAUUGUCCGCCAACUUGGAUGUAUUCACCGAAUGGCGAAUCAGGCCGAGAAUUUCCUUGAUCCAAAUCCCGAGGUAUACACUAACCAUAUUGGUUUCACAUGGGGCGCUUAAAUCAAAAUCCCACCCAUGGAAAGUCUCAUGAAAUACAUAUGUGGUUCGACGGAGGAUAUGAAAAUGGGCGGAGGUGAAAGAAAAUACGCACACUGCCCGUUUUCGGCGUAACAAAAACCCUAACCCUAACCACAGGGUCUUUACUUUCGCCUGAAAAUAGAAGCGUGUCGACAAAGCUGUGAACCAUAGGUUUAUCCGCCCUAAAUUCUAACGGUACGUAACAUGAAAUCUCUGAUAUUAUUUUGACCUUUUCCGUUUUGUCUCCAUUCAAAGCUGACCACUGACUCUUCUAUUUCCAGAUACAGUAUUUUAAACCAAAUGUGUUCUCAUAUACCAGAUUAUGGAUCAGAUUAUAGUGUGCUGAUUGAGUUUGCCGCAAGAAAUUUUCAGUGCGAACAUUGAUGCAGUUUCUCUCCAUGAAAAAUUCUCUCUCGUUCAUAUGAGAUGGCGAACAAGGAAGUUCUCUGCAAUGCGGAUUUGAUUUUAUCUACUUUCAGGCAGUCAAGAUAAUUUCUUUAAAAAGGUCAACAAGCUAACAGAAUGAAUUCUAAUUCUGACUUUCUGAAAUUGUGAAAAACAAUAAUAUUAAUAAUUAUUAUUGAUAAAGUACAUUGCAUAUAUAUAUAUAUAUAUAUAUAUAUAUAUUAUAUAUGGAAAGUUCGUCUUGUGAAAUAUAAUUGGACAAUUAUUCAAUGCCAUAUAAAUUUCAUUUUUCAUUUGUAAAAAAUAAAAAAGUUACAAUUAUGAACUUUUGGACUUGGUUUUAAUUUAAUGUCAGACUUCAGAAAACCUGUAAACACUGAGUUUUUUAUUUUCGAUUGAAUAUAUUUUUGUAUAUUUAAGAAUUGGAAACUAAAAUUUUUCUUCACAUCUGG
This 1823-nucleotide long non-coding RNA is filed under the name Octopus vulgaris (common octopus). Lineage: Eukaryota; Metazoa; Mollusca; Cephalopoda; Octopoda; Octopodidae. The record is from RNAcentral.